Molecule: ribosomal RNA, 468 nt
Filed under: uncultured bacterium
Lineage: Bacteria
Description: partial 16S ribosomal RNA
Rfam family: Bacterial small subunit ribosomal RNA
Source: RNAcentral
GACGAACGCUGGCGGCGUGCUUAACACAUGCAAGUCGAACGGAAAGGCCCUGCUUUUGUGGGGUGCUCGAGUGGCGAACGGGUGAGUAACACGUGAGUAACCUGCCCUUGACUGUGGGAUAACUUCAGGAAACUGGGGCUAAUACCGGAUAGGAGCUCCUGCUGCAUGGUGGGGGUUGGAAAGUUUCGGCGGUUGGGGAUGGACGCGCGGCUUAUCAGCUUGUUGGUGGGGUAGUGGCUUACCAAGGCUUUGACGGGUAGCCGGCCUGAGAGGGUGACCGGCCACCUUGGGCCUGCGAUAGGGCCCAGUCUCCUACGGGAGGCAGCGGUGGGGAAUAUUGCCCAACGGGCCGACGCCUGGUACGGCGGCGCCGCGUGCGGGAUGUCGGCCUUCGGGUUGUGAACCGCUUUCGCCUGUGACGAAGCGUGAGUGACGGUACUGGGUAAAGAAGCACCGGCUAACUACGUG